CCUACGGGAGGCAGCAGUGAGGAAUAUUGGUCAAUGGCCGGAAGGCUGAACCAGCCAUGCCGCGUGAAGGUCAGUGCCCUAUGGGCGUUAAACUUCUUUUGUGCGGGAGCAAUAAUGGUCACGUGUGGCCAGACGAGAGUACCGUACGAAUAAGCAUCGGCUAACUCUGUGCAAGCAGCCGCGGUAAUACGGGGGAUGCAAGCGUUAUCCGGAUUUAUUGGGUUUAAAGGGUGCGUAGGCUGUGAGUGAAGUCAGCGGUGAAAUGCCCCCGCUCAACGGGGUGAAGUGCCAUUGAUACUGACUUGCUGGAAUGCGGAUGCCGUGGGAGGAAUGUGUGGUGUAGCGGUGAAAUGCAUAGAUAUCACACAGAACACCGAUUGCGAAGGCAUCUCACGAAUCCGCGAUUGACGCUGAUGCACGAAAGCGUGGGUAUCAAACAGGAUUAGAUACCCUUGUAGUC
Molecule: ribosomal RNA, 460 nt
Filed under: uncultured bacterium
Lineage: Bacteria
Description: partial 16S ribosomal RNA
Rfam family: Bacterial small subunit ribosomal RNA
Source: RNAcentral